GAUGAACGCUAGCUACAGGCUUAACACAUGCAAGUCGAGGGGCAGCAUGGUCUUAGCUUGCUAAGGCCGAUGGCGACCGGCGCACGGGUGAGUAACACGUAUCCAACCUGCCGUCUACUCUUGGACAGCCUUCUGAAAGGAAGAUUAAUACAAGAUGGCAUCAUGAGUCCGCAUGUUCACAUGAUUAAAGGUAUUCCGGUAGACGAUGGGGAUGCGUUCCAUUAGAUAGUAGGCGGGGUAACGGCCCACCUAGUCUUCGAUGGAUAGGGGUCUGAGAGGACGAUCAGCCACACUGGGACUGAGACACGGCCCAG
RNAcentral lists this ribosomal RNA (314 nucleotides) under uncultured bacterium. RNAcentral describes it as "bacterial SSU rRNA". It matches the Rfam family "Bacterial small subunit ribosomal RNA", at positions 28 to 334 of the family's 1533-position model. The record is from RNAcentral.